UGCUGCCGCUCGACGGCCGUCGCCUCCCU
RNAcentral lists this small RNA (29 nucleotides) under Bombyx mori (domestic silkworm). RNAcentral describes it as "ovarian small RNA-34221". Lineage: Eukaryota; Metazoa; Arthropoda; Insecta; Lepidoptera; Bombycidae. The record is from RNAcentral.